Molecule: transfer RNA, 70 nt
Filed under: Cricetulus griseus (Chinese hamster)
Lineage: Eukaryota; Metazoa; Chordata; Mammalia; Rodentia; Cricetidae
Rfam family: tRNA
About the family: Transfer RNA (tRNA) molecules are approximately 80 nucleotides in length. Their secondary structure includes four short double-helical elements and three loops (D, anti-codon, and T loops).
Source: Rfam by way of RNAcentral
GGACAUGUAGCUCAGUUGGUAGAGUGUCUGCCUACCAUGCAUGAAGCCUUGGGCUCUAUUCCCAGCACCA